GACGAACGCUGGCGGCGUGCCUAAUACAUGCAAGUAGGACGCACAGUUUAUACCGUAGCUUGCUACACCAUAGACUGUGAGUUGCGAACGGGUGAGUAACGCGUAGGUAACCUACCUAUUAGAGGGGGAUAACUAUUGGAAACGAUAGCUAAUACCGCAUAACAGUAUGUAACACAUGUUAGAUGCUUGAAAGAUGCAAUUGCAUCGCUAGUAGAUGGACCUGCGUUGUAUUAGCUAGUAGGUAGGGUAAAGGCCUACCUAGGCAACGAUACAUAGCCGACCUGAGAGGGUGACCGGCCACACUGGGACUGAGACACGGCCCAGACUCCUACGGGAGGCAGCAGUAGGGAAUCUUCGGCAAUGGGGGGAACCCUGACCGAGCAACGCCGCGUGAGUGAAGAAGGUUUUCGGAUCGUAAAGCUCUGUUGUUAAGGAAGAACGAGUGUGAGAAUGGAAAGUUCAUGCUGUGACG
This 472-nucleotide ribosomal RNA is filed under the name Streptococcus anginosus. RNAcentral describes it as "bacterial SSU rRNA". It matches the Rfam family "Bacterial small subunit ribosomal RNA", at positions 28 to 474 of the family's 1533-position model. The record is from RNAcentral. Lineage: Bacteria; Bacillati; Bacillota; Bacilli; Lactobacillales; Streptococcaceae.